AUUUAUUUAAUAUAAAAAGUAUAUUUAACUUCCAAUUAAAUAGUCUUAAUUUUAAUUAAGAAUAAAUA
This 68-nucleotide transfer RNA is filed under the name Lepidopsocidae sp. RS-2001. RNAcentral's name for it is "tRNA-Gly". Lineage: Eukaryota; Metazoa; Arthropoda; Insecta; Psocodea; Lepidopsocidae. The record is from RNAcentral.